UACGGAGGGUGCAAGCGUUAUUCGGAAUUACUGGGCGUAAAGCGCACGUAGGCGGCCUCGUAAGUCAGGGGUGAAAUCCCACGGCUCAACCGUGGAACUGCCUUUGAAACUGCAGGGCUUGAAUCCUGGAGAGGGUGGCGGAAUUCCUGGUGUAGGAGUGAAAUCCGUAGAUAUCAGGAGGAACACCGGUGGCGAAGGCGGCCACCUGGACAGGUAUUGACGCUGAGGUGCGAAAGUGUGGGGAGCAAACAGG
Molecule: ribosomal RNA, 253 nt
Filed under: uncultured microorganism
Description: partial small subunit ribosomal RNA
Rfam family: Bacterial small subunit ribosomal RNA
Source: RNAcentral